AUGCCCGUGUCGUAGGUCGUGUGC
This 24-nucleotide non-coding RNA is filed under the name Gossypium hirsutum (cotton). The record is from RNAcentral. Lineage: Eukaryota; Viridiplantae; Streptophyta; Magnoliopsida; Malvales; Malvaceae.